RNAcentral lists this ribosomal RNA (834 nucleotides) under Salmonella enterica subsp. enterica serovar Typhimurium. Its description in RNAcentral is "partial 23S ribosomal RNA". It matches the Rfam family "Bacterial large subunit ribosomal RNA", at positions 711 to 1457 of the family's 2925-position model. Lineage: Bacteria; Pseudomonadati; Pseudomonadota; Gammaproteobacteria; Enterobacterales; Enterobacteriaceae. The record is from RNAcentral.
AGACCCGAAACCCGGUGAUCUAGCCAUGGGCAGGUUGAAGGUUGGGUAACACUAACUGGAGGACCGAACCGACUAAUGUUGAAAAAUUAGCGGAUGACCUGUGGCUGGGGGUGAAAGGCCAAUCAAACCGGGAGAUAGCUGGUUCUCCCCGAAAGCUAUUUAGGUAGCGCCUCGUGAAUUCAUCUCCGGGGGUAGAGCACUGUUUCGGCUAGGGGGCCAUCCCGGCUUACCAACCCGAUGCAAACUGCGAAUACCGGAGAAUGUUAUCACGGGAGACACACGGCGGGUGCUAACGUCCGUCGUGAAGAGGGAAACAACCCAGACCGCCAGCUAAGGUCCCAAAGUCAUGGUUAAGUGGGAAACGAUGUGGGAAGGCCCAGACAGCCAGGAUGUUGGCUUAGAAGCAGCCAUCAUUUAAAGAAAGCGUAAUAGCUCACUGGUCGAGUCGGCCUGCGCGGAAGAUGUAACGGGGCUAAACCAUGCACCGAAGCUGCGGCAGCGAACGUAUCACCCAAGACAACUUUACGGAGUUGACGAUUGACGGAGCGAAGCGACGUCAAAGCGUUCAUUAAAGUCGAGUUGGCUUAGGGAUACGUUCGUUGGGUAGGGGAGCGUUCUGUAAGCCUGUGAAGGUGUGUCGUGAGGCAUGCUGGAGGUAUCAGAAGUGCGAAUGCUGACAUAAGUAACGAUAAAGCGGGUGAAAAGCCCGCUCGCCGGAAGACCAAGGGUUCCUGUCCAACGUUAAUCGGGGCAGGGUGAGUCGACCCCUAAGGCGAGGCCGAAAGGCGUAGUCGAUGGGAAACGGGUUAAUAUUCCCGUACUUGGUGUUACUGC